AGGAUGAACGCUGGCGGUGUGCCUAAUACAUGCAAGUCGAACGAGAUCUUCGGAUCUAGUGGCGGACGGGUGAGUAACACGUUGGUACCUACCCCUAAGUGGGGAAUAACUGCCCGAAAGGGUGGCUAAUACCGCAUAAUCCCGCAAGGGUAAAGCAGUAAUGCGCUUAGGGAGGGGCCUGCGUCUGAUUAGCUAGUUGGUAGGGUAAUGGCCUACCAAGGCGACGAUCAGUAGCUGGAUCGAGAGGUUGACCAGCCACACUGGGACUGAGAUACGGCCCAGACUCCUACGGGAGGCAGCAGUAAGGAAUCUUCCACAAUGGACGAAAGUCUGAUGGAGCAACACCGCGUGCAGGAUGACGGUCUUCGGAUUGUAAACUGCUUUUAUAUGGGAAGAUUAUGACGGUACCACAUGAAUAAGGACCGGCUAACUACGCGCCAGCAGCCGC
RNAcentral lists this ribosomal RNA (448 nucleotides) under uncultured bacterium. RNAcentral's name for it is "SSU rRNA". It matches the Rfam family "Bacterial small subunit ribosomal RNA", at positions 26 to 518 of the family's 1533-position model. The record is from RNAcentral.